Molecule: ribosomal RNA, 1481 nt
Filed under: uncultured Gammaproteobacteria bacterium
Lineage: Bacteria; Pseudomonadati; Pseudomonadota; Gammaproteobacteria
Description: bacterial SSU rRNA
Rfam family: Bacterial small subunit ribosomal RNA
Source: RNAcentral
GAGUUUGAUCAUGGCUCAGAUUGAACGCUGGCGGUAUGCUUAAGACAUGCAAGUCGUGCGGUAGAAGGCUUCGGCCUUUGAGAGCGGCGGACGGGUGAGUAACACGUGGGAAUCUACCUAUUAGUGGGGGACAGCCCAGCGAAAGCUGGAUUAAUACCGCAUACGCCCUACGGGGGAAAGCAGCAAUGCGCUAAUAGAUGAGCCCGCGUAUGAUUAGCUAGUUGGUAAGGUAAAGGCUUACCAAGGCGACGAUCUUUAGCUGGUCUGAGAGGAUGGCCAGCCACAUCGGGACUGAGACACGGCCCGGACUCCUACGGGAGGCAGCAGUCGGGAAUAUUGGACAAUGGGCGCAAGCCUGAUCCAGCAAUACCGCGUGUGUGAAGAAGGCCUGCGGGUUGUAAAGCACUUUCAGUUGGGAAGAUAAUGACGUUACCAACAGAAGAAGCACCGGCUAACUCCGUGCCAGCAGCCGCGGUAAUACGGAGGGUGCAAGCGUUAAUCGGAAUUACUGGGCGUAAAGCGUGCGUACGCGGCCUGUUAAGUUCAGAUUGCGAAAGCCCCGGGCUUAACCUGGGAACUGCAUCUGAUACUGGGAGGCUAGAAUGUGGGAGAGGAGAGUGGAAUUUCCGGUGUAGCGGUUGAAAUUGCAUACCAGAUCGGAAGGAACACCAGUUGGCGAACGGCCGGCUCUUCUGGACCAAAUUGGACCCUGAGGCCCGAAAGCGUGGGUAGCAAACAGGAUUUAGAUAUCCCUGGGUAUUCCCACCGCCUUUAAAACGAAGUCAACUAGCAGCCGGAGUCACUCUAGAGGUCGGUGGGUGCUGCUAACGCAUUAAAGUUGUCCGCUUGGGGAGUCGGAGGGCAAGGUUAAAAAUCAAAGGAAUUGACCGGGGGCCCCGCGCAAGCGGUGGAGCAUGUGGUUUAAUUCGAUGCAACGCGAAGAAACCUUACCAGGUCUUGACAUGUAGUGAACUUAGCAGGAAUGUUUUGGUGCCUUAGGAGAACACUAACACAGGUGCUGCACGGCUGUCGUCAGCUCGUGUCGUGAGAUGUUGGGUUAAGUCCCGCAACGAGCGCAACCCCUGUCCGUAGUUGCCAGCACGUAAUGGUGGGAACUCUAGGGAGACUGCCGGUGACAAACCGGAGGAAGGUGGGGAUAGACGUCAAGUCAUCAUGGCCCUUAUGACCAGGACUACACACGUGCUACAAUAGGCAGUACAGAGGGAAGCAAAAUCGCGAGAUCAAGCAAAUCCCAGAAAGCUGUCCGUAGUCCGGAUCGGAGUCUGCAACUCGACUCCGUGAAGUCGGAAUCGCUAGUAAUCGCGAAUCAGCAUGUCGCGGUGAAUACGUUCCCGGGCCUUGUACACACCGCCCGUCACACCAUGGGAGUUUGUUGCACCAGAAGCAGGUAGUCUAACCGAAAGGAGGGCGCUUGCCACGGUGUGGCCGAUGACUGGGGUGAAGUCGUAACAAGGUAGCCG